Aethina tumida (small hive beetle) is the source of this 864-nucleotide long non-coding RNA. RefSeq lists it as uncharacterized. The transcript is spliced from 4 exons. The record is from RefSeq and is a predicted model, not a curated record. NCBI's taxonomy places the organism in Eukaryota, Metazoa, Arthropoda, Insecta, Coleoptera, Nitidulidae.
AUCCCGAACAAUAAGAAGAAUUUAAGUAACCUGGCUGAAGCUCAAGACACGUGCUGACCCAAGUAGAUGGACUUCCAGAAGACACAACUCUGGAGGCAAGAGUGAAGACCCUUCAACAAUAUACUACAACAUAGAAAUAUUGUUCAGAGGGGCCAAAUUUAAAUUAAGGAACACAACGUAUGGAAUAGAAGGAAGGUCCAAGCUCUUAGAUUGACGUGUUAAGCUUCAGGACCCACACCUCCAAGAGUGGAAUUAUUUAGAAAUUGUCUCAUCCCGAACAAUAAGAAGAAUUUAAGUAACCUGGCUGAAGCUCAAGACACGUGCAGACCUAAGUAGAUGGACUUCCAGAAGCCACAACUCCGGAGGCAACAGUGAAGACCCUUCAACAAUAUACUACAACAUAGAAAUUUUGUUCAGAGGGGCCAAAUUUAAAUUAAGGAACACAACGUACGGGAUAGAAGGAAGGUCCAAGCUCUCAGAUUGACGUGUUAAGCUUCAAGACCCACACCUCCAAGAGUGGAAUUAUUUAGAAAUAUAUUUCGUGACUGGUGCUGUUAAAACAAUAAAGAAAUGAAUGAAGAUGGAAGCACACAAACCAAUACAUUAACUUUUAGAAGUGUUAAGUGUAUAAGAAAUAAGAAGUCUUUGGAAAUUGAUAAAUUUGUCCAUGGUGAAUUUUGAGAAAUAAGGCGUCGAAUUAUUCAAAGACUCAACACUACUAACAGAAAAAAGAAACUGAACAGAAAUCCUUAGAGGAGGUAGCAGCAGAAAGCUUCAAUGAACUGAACUUAUUCCGGAUAACGUAACUACAUGCCCAUUUUCAUUCUAUAAAACUAUACAAGAUGUUAGAGGGGUGUCAGUAAU